AAGUCGUAACAAGGUUUCCGUAGGUGAACCUGCGGAAGGAUCAUUACCGAGUGAGGGUUCUCUUUCCGAGGCCCGACCUCCCAACCCUUUGUUUGAUAUGACCUCUGUUGCUUCGGCAGGCCGUUUCUCCCUCGGAGUCCCUGUGAGGGGAGACCGGGGAGACGCCGGCGGUCCUUUGGGGGCCUCUGGAGAGCGCCCGUCGAUAGCCCAUCUCAAAACUCUUGACAAAACGAUCUAUCUAAAAAACUUAUUCAGUUAUACACCAAUAACAAAAAUAAAACUUUCAACAACGGAUCUCUUGGUUCUG
Molecule: unclassified non-coding RNA, 307 nt
Filed under: air metagenome
Description: partial contains small subunit ribosomal RNA, internal transcribed spacer 1, and 5.8S ribosomal RNA
Rfam family: Eukaryotic small subunit ribosomal RNA (bases 1-46)
Source: RNAcentral